GCUUCCGUAGCUCAACUGGAUAGAGCACCGACCUUCUAAGUCGGGGGUUCCGGGUUCGAAUCCCGGCGGGGGCGCCA
Molecule: transfer RNA, 77 nt
Filed under: Deltaproteobacteria bacterium
Lineage: Bacteria; Pseudomonadati; Myxococcota; Myxococcia
Description: tRNA-Arg
Rfam family: tRNA
About the family: Transfer RNA (tRNA) molecules are approximately 80 nucleotides in length. Their secondary structure includes four short double-helical elements and three loops (D, anti-codon, and T loops).
Source: RNAcentral